This is a non-coding RNA of Paramuricea clavata, 201 nucleotides long. The record is from the annotation of a GenBank genome assembly. NCBI's taxonomy places the organism in Eukaryota, Metazoa, Cnidaria, Anthozoa, Malacalcyonacea, Plexauridae.
UUUUCGUCCAACAGCUUUCGUCGAGGAAAGGCAAAGAAAAAUGUUUGAUUGUUCGCGGAAAAUUUACAUAUUUGAGCGCCUUAUAUCAAGGUAGGUAAAGCUUUGCUGAUUUUAAUUUACCUUAUAUUCUGUUUAUAUAUUCUGUGAAGGCUACGCUAUCAAAAUACUCACUUUUUUAUAUAUGCUCAAAUUGAAACGGAG